This 238-nucleotide ribosomal RNA is filed under the name uncultured bacterium. Its description in RNAcentral is "partial 16S ribosomal RNA". It matches the Rfam family "Bacterial small subunit ribosomal RNA", at positions 96 to 334 of the family's 1533-position model. The record is from RNAcentral.
CGGCGGACGGGUGAGUAACGCGUGGGUAACCUGCCUCAUACAGGGGGAUAACAGUUAGAAAUGACUGCUAAUACCGCAUAAGACCACGGUACCGCAUGGUACAGUGGUAAAAACUCCGGUGGUAUGAGAUGGACCCGCGUCUGAUUAGGUAGCUGGUGGGGUAACGGCCUACCAAGCCGACGAUCAGUAGCCGACCUGAGAGGGUGACCGGCCACAUUGGGACUGAGACACGGCCCAG